CAUAUCCUACGGGGGGCAGCAGUGGGGAAUAUUGGUCAAUGGGCGCGAGCCUGAACCAGCCAAGUAGCGUGAAGGAGGGCUGCCCUACGGGUUGUAAACUUCUUUUAUAGAGGAAUAAAGUGAGGCACGUGAGCCUUUUUGUAUGUACUUUAUGAAUAAGGAUCGGCUAACUCCGUGCCAGCAGCCGCGGUAAUACGGAGGAUCCGAGCGUUAUCCGGAUUUAUUGGGUUUAACGGGAGCGUAGAUGGGUUGUUAAGUCAGUUGUGAGAGU
This 271-nucleotide ribosomal RNA is filed under the name uncultured bacterium. RNAcentral describes it as "partial 16S ribosomal RNA". It matches the Rfam family "Bacterial small subunit ribosomal RNA", at positions 332 to 601 of the family's 1533-position model. The record is from RNAcentral.